RNAcentral lists this ribosomal RNA (553 nucleotides) under uncultured bacterium. RNAcentral's name for it is "partial 16S ribosomal RNA". It matches the Rfam family "Bacterial small subunit ribosomal RNA", at positions 355 to 902 of the family's 1533-position model. The record is from RNAcentral.
UGGGGAAUUUUGGACAAUGGGCGAAAGCCUGAUCCAGCAAUGCCGCGUGUGUGAAGAAGGCCUUCGGGUUGUAAAGCACUUUUGUCCGGAAAGAAAUCCUUGGCUCUAAUACAGUCGGGGGAUGACGGUACCGGAAGAAUAAGCACCGGCUAACUACGUGCCAGCAGCCGCGGUAAUACGUAGGGUGCAAGCGUUAAUCGGAAUUACUGGGCGUAAAGCGUGCGCAGGCGGUUUGCUAAGACCGAUGUGAAAUCCCCGGGCUCAACCUGGGAACUGCAUUGGUGACUGGCAGGCUAGAGUAUGGCAGAGGGGGUAGAAUUCCACGUGUAGCAGUGAAAUGCGUAGAGAUGUGGAGGAAUACCGAUGGCGAAGGCAGCCCCCUGGGCCAAUACUGACGCUCAUGCACGAAAGCGUGGGGAGCAAACAGGAUUAGAUACCCUGGUAGUCCACGCCCUAAACGAUGUCAACUAGUUGUUGGGGAUUCAUUUCCUUAGUAACGUAGCUAACGCGUGAAGUUGACCGCCUGGGGAGUACGGUCGCAAGAUUAAAACUC